CUUGGCAGCAGUUUUGCCACGAGAGUACCCCGAACAAAGGAGACAGGGUCAUUUAUAACCUGACGCGUCCACCCUUCUGCUGUGUCCGGUUUCCAUUGGCUGGAACAGGACCUCACAUUCUGUAUUUGUCCCGAUUGGCUAGCAACUUAGAACUUAUUAAAAGAGGCAAAGCUAGAGGAGAAAAAAGGAAGGAGGAAGUAACUUGUGGAAUGCUGAGAAAGGUAAAAACACCUUUAAAUAAGGAAGAGAAACAGGCUAUGAACUAAUGCCUGCUUGGACCAGUAUAAGCAUGCCAGGGCAAAUAUUUAGGCUAAAUUGUGGGAGCUAAGAACAUAAAGUAUAUUGGUUUUCUUAUUACGACUAGCAGAUAUUUAAGAAUGUUAGCACAGGUUUUUGAAUAAAUUUUGCUUCUAAGAGAAGUUAUUAUUUAUUCCUAAUUAAAUGGAGAGGAAAGUCUUUGAAGAGGAACCUCUAUUUUUACAUAGAACCUUGCCUGGUAGCGCAAACUAGAAUCAAGGAGUCACAGAGAGUUAGAACUGGAAGAACCUGAGUGAUCUGUCUCCCAGCCCAAUUUCUUCCCGUACCAGUGUGGAGAUGGAGAGUGAAAGUGACCCAUCCUGGGCUGCCCAGCCAGCGGAGUUAACACAAGAACCUGGGGUUUCAUCCUGCCAGUUGAGGUUGCAUUGUAUAUGUUUGUUUUCCAUUCUUUUUUUUUUUUUUUUUUUUUUUUUUUUUGAGACAGGGUCUAGCUCUGUCAGGCUGGACGGAAUAUAGUGGCAUGAUCUUGGCUUGCUGCAACCUCUGCCUCUUGGGCUUAAGUGUCCUCCCAUCUCAGCCUUCUGAGUAGCUGGGACUACAGGUGCACACCACCAUGUAUUUUUUUGUAUUUUUUGUAGAGAUGGGGUUUCGCCGUGUUGCCCAUGCUGGCCUCAAAUGCCUCAGCCUCCCAAAGUGUUGGGAUUACAGGUGUGAGCCACUGCACCUGGCCUGCUUUCCAUUCUUACCUCUGUGUUAAUGACACAGCAUUUUCAAGACAGUUUUGUUCCUAUUCUUUACCCUCUGCAAAGGGUGUUCUUGAUACACAGACACACACACACACACACUUAUAUGUUUUAGGCAAUUGCAGAUAUUUGCUUCUAGUCCAGGGUGCCAGUUACAGAGGUCCCCAUAUCUGCUGCUUUGAGGCUAAUGCUGAGCUGUGGGAUUAUUCUUUUCAUGAGCCCCCUGGCUCUGCUGCUUGGUUGCAGGGCUGGCUCAGAUGACUAAGAACACAGGACCACAGGAGCAAUGGUCCAGUGAGGUAUGCAGUGGAGCUCUGGCUCCACCAGCCUCACAGCAUGAAAUUAAGACGUCAUCUCUGGUCUUUGCUGAAGAAGAUCAUAUCUACUAGUACUGUGCUCUCUUUGCAUGCCAGAGAUUUGACCAGGUGAUGUAAAUAGAGGAUGUCAAGCUCCUCCAUUGUAGAUUAAGCCUAUAAAGUAUUCUUACUGGUGAAUUUGCCUUAGCCUCCUGUGAUAGCAGUUUAUUUAUAUACCUCAUAGAAACUGAAAUCCAGUCAAAGAAAUGACCUAAGAGACUUGUUUCUUUAGAUAGGUAAUCCAGACAAUAACUACUAUUGCCUGGGAUUUAUGAUGUGCUUUUUCUUCCAAGAGCCCUGUGUGCUUUCAAAGCAGCCCAUUCAUCUUCAAGCACCCCUGAGAGGGAUAACUGUCAACAGACUGUUUUCUGCAGGAGGAUGUAAAGCAAAGAUAUGCUGUCUAAAAUCACAGGAGGUCGUCCACAGACAAGUAUCUGGAGCUCUGCACACCUGGCCCAAAAUACACUUGAGCAGGUGAUGUUGACUUUAAGAUGGCUUCAUAUUGAAUGGGAUUUGCAAACACAUGUAAGGCCAUGGGCGCUGCAGGCCCUUGGUGGUUGAUCAUAGUGUUCUUUCCUGUUGAGUCAGUUUGCAGACUCAGAAUCCUUCCCAGCAGUGCUCUACAAGUAGUCACUUCACUUGGUGUUAGCAAGCAGAUUAGAUCCUCUGUCAUUUGUGAGCAGAAGUUGGUCUAAAAUGCUAAGCAGCAUUUGUCUUCUGCCUGAAGUCUUCAUCAAAAUCCCAAAGUGGCUGUUGAAAGGUGACAUCAUUCUGACCUUAAAAUGCAAUAAGGUUAGCUGUCAUUUGACUUUACACUGAAAAUUGAGGUGGAAAAUAGGAUAAUAUAAGAAUCAGUGGCCCCUAAGGAGCAGGAUUUUGGAGAGUUAAGAACCUGGGGUUUCAUCUUGCCAAUUUCAGGAUUCUCUGUCAUCACCUGGUUGAGGCUGUGAGCUCAGGAUUGAGCACGUGACAGUCACAUGAUUUCUGCAGUGAGCCCCAAAGCUUCCACGAGCUUUCCUGGAACCUACGGCCAGAAGAGUCCUGAGAUUUCGAAUAUUAAAGCUUUCUCC
Molecule: long non-coding RNA, 2427 nt
Filed under: Homo sapiens (human)
Lineage: Eukaryota; Metazoa; Chordata; Mammalia; Primates; Hominidae
Description: HSALNT0088615
Source: RNAcentral